RNAcentral lists this ribosomal RNA (585 nucleotides) under uncultured bacterium. RNAcentral's name for it is "bacterial SSU rRNA". It matches the Rfam family "Bacterial small subunit ribosomal RNA", at positions 338 to 916 of the family's 1533-position model. The record is from RNAcentral.
CCUACGGGAGGCAGCAGUGGGGAAUUUUGGACAAUGGGCGCAAGCCUGAUCCAGCAAUGCCGCGUGCAGGAUGAAGGCCUUCGGGUUGUAAACUGCUUUUGUACGGAACGAAACGGUGAGCUCUAAUACAGUUUGCUAAUGACGGUACCGUAAGAAUAAGCACCGGCUAACUACGUGCCAGCAGCCGCGGUAAUACGUAGGGUGCGAGCGUUAAUCGGAAUUACUGGGCGUAAAGCGUGCGCAGGCGGUGAUGUAAGACAGAUGUGAAAUGCCCGGGCUCAACCUGGGACCUGCAUUUGUGACUGCAUCGCUAGAGUACGGUAGAGGGGGAUGGAAUUCCGCGUGUAGCAGUGAAAUGCGUAGAUAUGCGGAGGAACACCGAUGGCGAAGGCAAUCCCCUGGACCUGUACUGACGCUCAUGCACGAAAGCGUGGGGAGCAAACAGGAUUAGAUACCCUGGUAGUCCACGCCCUAAACGAUGUCAACUGGUUGUUGGGUCUUCACUGACUCAGUAACGAAGCUAACGCGUGAAGUUGACCGCCUGGGGAGUACGGCCGCAAGGUUGAAACUCAAAUGAAUUGACGG